GGAUCAUCAUGACUCGCCGCCGCCGGAGGAGGAGCACCGGCGCCGGAAGUAGAGUGUGUAGAUUCGUACUCGUUGAGAUACUUCUCGGCCUUCUCGAGGUACUGACCAGCACCGCUUUUUUCAUCGAGCUUACCGUACUUCUCGGCGGCGUCUAAGAUAUCAGCGCUGGCUCCGGCGACUUUACCCUUGUCGAGUUUGUCGGAUUCGUUACGAGCUGCGGCUUGAGCAGCUUCGGCUACAAUCUUGGCACUAGCCAUGACCUCGGCGGAGGAAGCUGGUCUAUUGGUUGUUUCGGUUCCUUCGACGGGCUUGUUGUGCUCCGGCUCCGCCGUUUUCGUGUCGGAGAGUUUCUUUACCUGAUCAGAGAUGAAGUUCAUCUUUUGGUUUUUUUUUUUCUCGCUGAAUAUAGUUUUUUUUUUGUUGGAUGUAAGAGUUAAGAGAAUGGGAUAUGUGUAUAUAUAGACAGAAAAUGGAUAUUUAUCCACUAUAGGGAUAUUAUUUUUUGUAGUUAAUAACAAUACAAUAUUGUGUACGUAACUCAUUUCUAUAUUAUUAUUUAAGUAGACAUUUUUAAAUAUAAAUUUUAUUUUGUAAAAUAUUACAUGAUAUAUCAUUACAAAUAUCAAAGAAUAAUUAAAUUAAAAAAGGAUAUAGUUAUCUUUCAAAUUUAUUGACAAAAAUAUGGAAAGUCUUUGUUUCUGAAUUUUAAAAUAUGAUAGUUUUUAUAUUUUUGUUUUAAAUAAUAUCAUAAAGUAUAUUUAAUUAAAAAACAUGAAAAUAUUUUGUUUUCACAAUUAAAUAAUAUAAAAGUCAAAACUAAAAUUUAUAAUAUUUAAAAAUGGUGAAAUAUUUUUUACUUUAAUUUGCUAUAUUUAUUUCAUUAUAUAUGAAAUUUAUUUUAAAUUAUUUUUUACCAAAAAAUGACAUGAAAAAAUAAUUUUUAGAAUAAAAAAUUAAUAUUGAAGUGAGAUUUAUUGAUGCCUAUUAUAAUUAGUUUUAUAUUUUAAUCCAGUACAAACAAGUAAACGGAUUAAUUCGGUAUGAAUGAAUUAUAAUUCUAAUUUUUUAAUAUUCACCAAAACAAAUUUUGCAUUUCAAAAUAUUAGUUUUAAAAUAGGUGGUAUAUUAAAUCCACUAAAUAUUAUAAUUUGUCUUUAAGAUUAAAUAAAUUUUGUUGCAUUUUUAUUUAUUAUAUAUCAAAUCUAAGUUUAAAGAAUAUUAUACUAUUUUCAUAUAUUGUUAGAAGAUAAAAAUAUUUUUUUAUAGUUUGUGGACAGAUUAUAAAAUUCAGUUACUAAGCGAUGUAGUUGAUUUUAAUGAUAUUAUAAUAUUUUGUGUAUUAGUUUGAAUAAUAUUUCAGUUUAAUGUUAACGGGUUAAAUGAACAGUUUAUUUUGCUUUAUCUUUUUAUAACAUAUACGGAUUAACUUAAUUUUUAUAAUUCAAACUAAAAAAAAAUUAUAUACGAAUCAACUCAUUUUUAAAAAUUCACAAAAUAUGCACUACAUUAUCAUAAACUUUAUAGAAAUAACUGUUUUUAUAAAAUAACUAUUUUUGUAAAAUGAUUUAACUUAAUUGAAGAUAAAAAAAUGUUUCCAAAAAGAUCUAGUCACUUUAGUUUGUCGUGUUUAAUACUCCUACUAUUUCUUCUUAAUAAUUGUUGUGUAUGUUACAACUUACACAAAUGUGUAUAUCUUUGUAAUUUGUACGUUGAUGAGGUUACCUAAUAGGCUAAUACACUAACAAUUGUUAAUGUCGUUGUUUGUCGUGGCCGAAAAUACAUUUAGGGAUCAGUUAUUACAAAAUAUUUGUGACGAAUGUGCUGUUCUCUUGUCGAUCACACAUAUUAGAUAUUUCUUUUGUGGUGUUCAAUGCAUUGUCCUAUCACAUAAACAUCUAUGAAAUUAUUGUUUUCCAUUGAAGGUUGUCGUGUUGGUGGAAGCUUUGAUGGGUGAUAAAGGCAAUCACUUUAUUUUGUCGGCAGAGUAAUACAAGCUUUUUUUUUUUUUUUUUCUUUUCUAUUAAUCUCCCAGCUUGAUUCGGGUGCCCUAAGCAAAUUAGUUGAGCCCACAAUAAGUGACAUUAGUGACCCAAUAUUUACAUUGUGUUCUUAAAAGUUUUUAAACCCGAUUAGCGUUAGUGACAGAUACAUUUUAGAAAGGGCUCCAUCCGGGUUUUGUUGGCUUCGGUUUGAUAGAAUAGUAAUUAACGCAAAAUGGAAUCUUAUAUGAACCGGUUUGGCAUGAUGUUUAUAUUGGUUUGAGUUUGACUUUAAAUCAAAUAUAUGAAAUUCCAAAAAUUAAGUUCGAUUUAUUUUCUCAAUUUGGAUUUUUUUCUUUUCCUUUUCUAAUUUAAGAGAGAGUAUUAUAUUAUCAUGUGGUGGUUUUAAAUGGGUUCAAUAGGGUACAUGAUAAGCUCUUGAAAACAAAAGAUUUCCUGCAUUUGUAUUUAUGCGGUGGUGUCUGUUGGUUUUCUUAUGCUUCCAGGACCGUAUAAAGUCACUAUAAACAAGACAUCUGAAGCAAUGAUAUUUUUGGUUUUUCAGCUACCCAUGAAAACCAAGCUGAAGACGAUGAUGCUGCUCACGUUGAGGCGUUGGCCUCCCCUCCGGUCCUGAUAUCACUACCCGAGGUACCGCAGACCCCGAUAUGCCGGAUUGAUGCUUUUUGGAUCAAUCACGGACAGGUUAGCGGCCUUGGUUGGAGUUUUAAGGAUGACAGAGGAACAGAGAUUUUUGGUCUACAGAGAUGUCGUAGAAGUCUCUCGGCUCUUCACGCCGAGAUGGAUUGCCUCUUAUGGGCUAUGUCAUGCCUGAGAGAAAUACAGAUGACGUCGGUGCAUUUUUAGACCGACUGCUCGGAUCUUGUGAGCAUGUGUGAAUCACCAGCAGACUGGCCAUCUUUUAAGACAGAAUUGGAAUCCUUUUGUAUACUUCGCGAGAGCUUCUCAGAGUUUACCUUAUCCUAUAUUCCGAGAAUUCAAAAUGUCCGGACGGAUAGUCUUGCAAAAUGAGCUCGAGCGAGAGGAGUUAUUUUUUCCCAAAUCGAUCAUAACGAGCCGGUCGAAGAUGGUUUUCAAACCACUUCUAAGAUAGGCCAAAUGUGAUUGUAAUAGUUGGAUAGCGGAAAAAAAAAAGCUACUAAUGAAUUUUUUUGAUAAAACUGUUGAACGACGUAAGAUAUGAUGGAUCGAUUCAAGAUAUUCUACGGUCUUUCUUUCUGUUAGAAUUUAUUUUAAUUAAUUUUUGGUUGAAAUAAGUUAAAAAAGCUAUUUAUAUUUUGAAAGCUCACAUUCAAAUUAAUUGAUUUAGUUCCAUUUUUGGUCAUAGUUUUAAAACCACCUGUUAUUUAUAAAAAAAUUUCAAUGGCAUACAAAUAUUUUGGUAUUUCAGCACUACUUGAAAUAAAAAUACCAAGAUAAUUACGAAAAUUGGUUCGAAAAAAUCAUAUGUAAAACUCGUUGAUCCAAAUCUGCUGCACUCUGUUUUCGCUGUCCCAUAUGCACAAAAACCACACAAGAUAAUCUUAAGGUAAUUUCAAGAAACUUCUUGUUGUUUCUAAAAUUAAAUGCAGAUCUGUUUUUUUUUUUUGUUUUGUUGUUGCUCUUUGCCUUAUUGAUGUUUCUUUCUUUCUCUUUGUAUGCAGCAUUGUCUAUGGCUUUUUGUGUCUAACAUCAGUGGAUCAAGCUGAUCAACUGGCAGAAAAAACUCAAAUCUUUCAAAGAUGGAAACUUUUUUUUUGUUUUUCCUGUAAAUUAUCCAAACUUUUAAUAAAUGUUACUUUUGUGAUUUUUCUAUGCAACAAGAUUUGAAAGAACAAUGUUUCUUCGUUGUGUAGCUAUCAAAAGGUGUCUUUGGCGUAAGAAUCAGAGGAGAACAUUUUCCACUAAUCUCCAAAUAUCUCAAGUGCACUCCAACAUAAUUGGAGAAGCAAUAGGUUUGAACUCCGGGGAUCGAGUGAGACUCUAGGGAUUGAUUAGAAUAAGCAACAUUUCCUUAUCUCCUUAGACUUCAAAUUUUUUUUUUCUUGACAAAAGCUUCAAAAACAUUUAUAACAUUUUUUCAGAUAAAAGUGACUUUACUAUUUAUGUUGAAUGAAUUAAAUUUGUUGAUGAUACAUGUGAAGAAAUUUAAAUAUACACUUUGUAAUUAUAAGGAAUGAAUUCAAUUAUGUGCAAACGUAGGACAGUGGAUAUAAGCACUAUGAAGUUUAACUAUCUGUAAAUGUUCUAAUUUCAAAGAAUGAAAAAACUACUUUCCUAAAUUAACAUGUGACGAGUCAUAAUCAUAGUGUUGAAUUACACUUUUAUUUGUCUUAGGUAAACGUUUUCUCUCUGGAGACUGUUAAGAUCCAAUGGAUGACUUUGAAACUUAUUGGAGGAUAGAUCAUCAUCAAGUGCAUUCAAACAAAAUUGGCCAAGCAAUAGGAUUAAUCUUUGGGGAUCGAGUACCUUUGGGUAGACCUCAUUGUUGCAAAGCCUCCUUCUAAUAGUAACAGUGGUUAGAUACCAGAAUCUAUUCCCAAAAAGAUUGUGAAACCUGCAAGAUUUGAGAGUUUCUAUGGACAGUUGCCGGAUGAAAUCUUUAUACACAAUAUUCAAAGAUAUGGUGUAUAUGAUAAGUAAACAAUAAUUUUUUGAUGAGUUAUAAGUAUCCUACCAUAUAAAUGAGAAUUUUAAAAUCUCUGUACACAAUUCAAAGCUUGCAGAAUUUUUUAUUUU
Molecule: long non-coding RNA, 4718 nt
Filed under: Eutrema salsugineum
Lineage: Eukaryota; Viridiplantae; Streptophyta; Magnoliopsida; Brassicales; Brassicaceae
Description: long non-coding RNA (ESAL_LNC000632)
Source: RNAcentral